This 497-nucleotide ribosomal RNA is filed under the name uncultured bacterium. RNAcentral's name for it is "partial 16S ribosomal RNA". It matches the Rfam family "Bacterial small subunit ribosomal RNA", at positions 28 to 507 of the family's 1533-position model. The record is from RNAcentral.
GAUGAACGCUGGCGGCGUGCCUAAUACAUGCAAGUCGAGCGAACAGACGAGGAGCUUGCUCCUCUGACGUUAGCGGCGGACGGGUGAGUAACACGUGGAUAACCUACCUAUAAGACUGGGAUAACUUCGGGAAACCGGAGCUAAUACCGGAUAAUAUAUUGAACCGCAUGGUUCAAUAGUGAAAGACGGUUUUGCUGUCACUUAUAGAUGGAUCCGCGCCGCAUUAGCUAGUUGGUAAGGUAACGGCUUACCAAGGCGACGAUGCGUAGCCGACCUGCGAGGGUGAUCGGCCACGCUGGAACUGAGACACGGUCCAGACUCCUACGGGAGGCAGCAGUAGGGAAUCUUCCGCAAAGGGCGAAAGCCUGACGGAGCAACGCCGCGUGAGUGAUGAAGGUCUUCGGAUCGUAAAACUCUGUUAUUAGGGAAGAACAAAUGUGUAAGUAACUAUGCACGUCUUGACGGUACCUAAUCAGAAAGCCACGGCUAACUACGUG